Molecule: small nucleolar RNA, 107 nt
Filed under: Sorghum bicolor (sorghum)
Lineage: Eukaryota; Viridiplantae; Streptophyta; Magnoliopsida; Poales; Poaceae
Description: Plant small nucleolar RNA R71
Rfam family: Plant small nucleolar RNA R71
About the family: R71 is a member of the C/D box family of snoRNAs containing the C (UGAUGA) and D (CUGA) box motifs. Multiple nearly identical copies of this snoRNA have been identified in Arabidopsis, and it is thought to function as a 2'-O-ribose methylation guide for 18S ribosomal RNA.
Source: Rfam by way of RNAcentral
GUUCCAUGAUUGGGACAUUCUAUGAUGUAGUCUUGAAAGUGCUCCCAUGCUUCUGGAACAGAUUCAUCAUUUUGUUGCUCAAAAAUUGUAAUCUUCCCAUGGAUAGC